UGUAAAUUUAACUGUUAAUCCAAAGGGGUACAGCUCUUUGGAAUAGGAUACAACCUUAAUUAGAGAGUAAGCACAAAUUAACCACCAUAGUUGGCCUAAAAGCAGCCAUCAAUUAAGAAAGCGUUCAAGCUCAACAAACUNCUCCCAGCUUAAUGUAAAAAAUGAAAUCAAACUCCUAAUACCAAACUGGACUAAUCUAUAUAGAUAUAGAAGCAAUACUGUUAAUAUGAGUAACAAGAUUUAAAUCUCCCAGCACAAGUAUAUGUCAGAACAAAUACUUAACUGAUAGUUAGCGGCCAAAUAAAUAAAACCCAUUAUAAAACAUUUAUCCUCUCACCGUUAACCCAACACAGGUGUGCACCAAAGGAAAGAUUAAAAGAAGUAAAAGGAACUCGGCAAACACAAACCCCGCCUGUUUACCAAAAACAUCACCUCUAGCAUAACCAGUAUUAGAGGCACUGCCUGCCCAGUGACAACUGUUUAACGGCCGCGGUAUCCUGACCGUGCAAAGGUAGCAUAAUCAUUUGUUCCCUAAAUAGGGACUUGUAUGAAUGGCCACACGAGGGUUUAACUGUCUCUUACUUCCAAUCAGUGAAAUUGACCUUUCCGUGAAGAGGCGGAAAUGCAUCAAUUAGACGAGAAGACCCUAUGGAGCUUUAAUUAAUCUACUCCAAUAGAAUAACCAGAUACCCACACAGGAAUAACAUUUAAUUCUAACUGGAUAGAAAAUUUCGGUUGGGGUGACCUCGGAGCAUAAACCAACCUCCGAGAAUUAUUACCAAGACUAACAAGUCAAAGUAUAACUAAUAUUAAUUGAUCCAGUCUGACUGAUCAACGGAACAAGUUACCCUAGGGAUAACAGCGCAAUCCUAUUCUAGAGUCCCUAUCGACAAUAGGGUUUACGACCUCGAUGUUGGAUCAGGACAUCCUAAUGGUGUAGCAGCUAUUAAUGGUUCGUUU
Molecule: ribosomal RNA, 960 nt
Filed under: Cryptotis gracilis (Talamancan small-eared shrew)
Lineage: Eukaryota; Metazoa; Chordata; Mammalia; Eulipotyphla; Soricidae
Description: partial 16S ribosomal RNA
Rfam family: Bacterial large subunit ribosomal RNA
Source: RNAcentral